Molecule: ribosomal RNA, 201 nt
Filed under: Triticum aestivum (bread wheat)
Lineage: Eukaryota; Viridiplantae; Streptophyta; Magnoliopsida; Poales; Poaceae
Description: partial small subunit ribosomal RNA
Source: RNAcentral
ACGGGUUCAUAUACACAAGAGGAGGACAAGUUGAUUUGCUAAUGUUGGAUGGAGAUUAGCCAAGAUCCGAGGACGGGAGCGCAACAAAAGGGCCUAGUUUUUUGGACGAGAGUCCACAAAACUUUCCAUGAAAGGAAGAUGUUUGAGCCCUACCAAAUCACAAGCAACCGUGGCAUCACCUCGAUUCAAAAGAGGUGGUAG